UUAACUUUGGUCCUGUAACAAUAGAAAAAUGACUCAGUUGCUCUGUUUGUGAAACUGGGGCAGUGAUGCCAGCUGCUUGCCUUGCACAAAGGGAUGAAGGAGGGCCAGCCUUAUGAGACAAUAGAGGCCUCUGGAGUCGGGGCAUUACAUAGGUGGGGAGGAGGAAGGUGCCAAGAAAGAGCUGGAAGACUGUGGAGGGGGCAACCUGACACAGAACUGAAGGAAGCCUAGCAAGCCCUCUCUCCACAUCUCCCUUCUACUCCAGAUUUUCAGCUGCAGGAUUAUAAAGAACUCAGGAUUUCCCAGUAUUUACACAGGCCUGUUCCACAUCAUGGCACCCUAUGUAAGACGAGUGGUUCUGAAAAUACAUCAUCAUGGAUCAUCAGCUAUAAUGAGAAGUAGAUUAACCCAGGGGCAUGCCAUCAAAUGAUCUGCCAAAGAGUCAAGAAGAGGCCCAGUGGGGACAAUUUUGGAGGUCAGCCCAGGCUGAAGUGGAUGGCCAAUUGACACCAAGCGGAACGAUGGACAACCAUGUUAAUAGAUCUCCUGAUUUUCCAAGAGAAGUUAGAAAUUUCUAUUUUUAUAUGAAAUCUCCUGUUUUUAAACGUUGGCAACUGAUUCAAAAUAAUUUUAAACACUUUGAAAGAUAAAUAAAAUGUGUCUGCAGGCAGCCCAGUUUGUGACCUCUUCUUCUAGAAGUCCCCUAGAGAAGACUUAGCAAUAAUUACUCUUCGGAGCCUCCCCAACUUUACCCCAUUCUCACCUCCACCCCUCCCUCAUUAACUCCCUCCCUAAUUAACUGUUCUUUGACCUCAGUUACUAAAGCAAUUUAUAUGUAUGUCUGUUAGAGUGCUCAAUACAUUCUGUG
This 868-nucleotide long non-coding RNA is filed under the name Equus caballus (horse). RNAcentral's name for it is "lncRNA (ENSECAG00000031015.2)". The record is from RNAcentral. Lineage: Eukaryota; Metazoa; Chordata; Mammalia; Perissodactyla; Equidae.